RNAcentral lists this ribosomal RNA (494 nucleotides) under uncultured bacterium. RNAcentral describes it as "partial 16S ribosomal RNA". It matches the Rfam family "Bacterial small subunit ribosomal RNA", at positions 28 to 507 of the family's 1533-position model. The record is from RNAcentral.
GACGAACGCUGGCGGCGUGCUUAACACAUGCAAGUCGAACGGUGAAGCGCCUUCCUUUUUGGUGGGUGUGGAUGAGUGGCGAACGGGUGAGUAACACGUGAGUAACCUGCCCCCUUCUUCUGGAUAACCGCAUGAAAGUGUGGCUAAUACGGGAUAUUCUGGGUCUGUCGCAUGAUGGGUCUGGGAAAGAUAUUGUUUCGGUGGGGGAUGGGCUCGCGGCCUAUCAGCUUGUUGGUGGGGUGAUGGCCUACCAAGGCGGUGACGGGUAGCCGGCCUGAGAGGGUGGACGGUCACACUGGGACUGAGACACGGCCCAGACUCCUACGGGAGGCAGCAGUGGGGAAUAGUGCACAAUGGGCGCAAGCCUGAUGCAGCGACGCCGCGUGAGGGAUGGAGGCCUUCGGGUUGUGAACCUCUUUCGCCAGUGAAGCAGGCCUGCCUCGUUUGUGGGUGGGUUGACGGUAGCUGGAUAAGAAGCGCCGGCUAACUACGUA